ACAAUCAUAAAAAAAUCACAUCAACAAAACUUUCAUUAUCGACAAAACAUCUCUUUACAUCAUAAUUGACAAUUGACAAUUGUCAUUGACACGACUAUAGCAUCAUUAUGAGAAGUCUGGACUCCUCGCAGAUCUGCUUCAGUAAAAAUGAUAUCGUUAUCGACACGCUGGCACUUAGAAGUGUUUUCGUAGUCGUCUGCCCCC
Molecule: long non-coding RNA, 204 nt
Filed under: Elaeis guineensis (African oil palm)
Lineage: Eukaryota; Viridiplantae; Streptophyta; Magnoliopsida; Arecales; Arecaceae
Description: long non-coding RNA (EGUI_LNC035448)
Source: RNAcentral